AGACGAAUCCCAAAAUGACAGCAAGAUAAAGAAAAUAAGUCACUAUUGGCACUUGGACUUAUUACAUUUUAAGAUAAAGCAAAUAAAACUAAUCUAUUUGGUCUUAGAAGGACCUUUCUCAGACUGAAUGCUCUUGUUGAUCAAAUUCCCCAAUUCACAUAGGUUCAUGAGGAAGAACGCUUUUGCCAAGUGUCCUCAUUCGUUUCCCUCAGCGUUCUGGCAGUCGGUGAUUCUCUUCCUCACUCUUCCUUCCAAUUCCAUAAGACUGUAUUCAAGAUAUUCCAGCUUUUUGCUAGAUUGAGGCCGCUCUUUUUCCAUUCAUUUAUUUGGUCACUUGAUGAAAGAUUCCUCCACUAGUCUAGAGAGAGUAAGGGCAUGCUAACCAUACCGAAAAUGGGGACCUCAUGCCUCAUUUUCUGCAAAACAAAGGGGUUAAUCCUCUCUCCCCCACCAGACUCAACUAUUUUUACAUUUAUGAUCAGUAUAUCAUCAUUUAGUUCUCAAAAUUAAUGUGCAGAAUGUGGUUGUGUCCGUUAGGAUUAUGAAAAACUCGAUGGAAUUUUGGAUAACACUUAUCUUAAAGGAUCAUUAUGUGAACAUCACAUUAAUCCGACUAGGUUUGACCAUGAUGUAUGCACAAUUUUGACCAGAGUAAGGCUAUUAUGGGUUUAAGACCGGUACCCUCAAGCAGACAACUUGAGGGGAAGGCAUAGAACCGUCGACUGCACCGCUGAUCGACUAGUUUUACCGCAAAUAAGACUUUCUGAAUUUAAGGGUAAUAAUAGAAAGAGUGCAACAACCCAUUAAGUGUUGCUAUAGGAUUUGAUACGGACGAGUGGAAUAUGAUAUGGAGCAUGUUUUAUGCAGCAAUUAAUAUUAUGUAGUCACGCGUAGGAAAAAAUAAAUACAAUAUUUAAAUAAUUGAAAGACAAUUAUAAAGGAAAACAAAGAGCCAAUUUAGUUUCAAGGAUAAAGAAUCAUAAAUUCAUAAAAUAAAACAAACAGUUAAAUUCAAAUAAGGGGAAAGUGUACGGAUAAAGCAUGCUUUGGCUAAUUCAAAAAUAAGUUCGUUAUGGUAAAAGUUUAAAGGUAUCCCUAACAGAGUUGCCAUGCUGUUGCGCCCCCUUUUGCCUCCCUUUUUACGAGGAAGAAGGUUUGGGUUUUGACAUUUAUUGGGGUAGUAACUCAUUUCCUUUUGGGAGUUGGGUAUUUUGAAGAGUCGCCACCUAAUGGAUUAUGGUGCAUUAGGGCACCUAGAGCGAUUAACUCUUGGAUUGGUUUGCAUUACCAGAGAAUUAGGGUAAGAGCUCGAAAUAACCUAGAGGGAAAGGUGUUAGGCAUCCUUCUUGGUCCAUAAUGGUGGGUCCCAGCCGAACAUAUACUUAUGAAUUAGUCCAUUAACAAAUAAAUAGUUGAAACACAUAAUUGCAAAUAAAGCAUAUUGGACAUUGUAUGACUCAAAUAAGACAGAGAAUUUUUGUAAGUUGUGUACAUAAAUAGUAAAGUUUUAAGCAAAGGAAAUUUGGGAAAUGAGGGGUCCUAUGUUGGUUAGCCUACAGGAUCAUCCCAUGCUAUGUCCGGUAAACACUCCUCAAUGAGGGGAUACACGUGACAUUAGCGUGUAAUCAUCAUAUCCUAUUUUACCCAAGUCCUUUCCCUUGGUCAUAGCCUAAAGCGUUCUAAUAACCUUGACAAUGUCCUAUGAGUGCACUACUCGUCCUUCCUAGUGGCCCUGGAAGUAUUUAGGUCCUCUAAAUCUGGGCAGUUCUAAACAAGCCCCUAAGGUUUAAAGGAGAAAAUACUAAGGCAACAAGCAAGAACACAUAGGACUUUAGAAAAUAAAAUCAGAAAGGAGCAAAUAAGAGGCUCAGGUUUACCUCCGCAGAUAAUGCAUGUAAACAGCACGACUCAAACACAAACAGUAGGCAAUAUUAUUAAACAUGAUCCUAAGACAUGAUGUCUAGGUGAGUAUCAAAACACAAGAGACAUGCAGAUUUAUUUAUUCUUAGACUUAGAAGCAGGGGCCUAAUCAGUUUGCCUACUGAUUUUUACAUCAUGUUAAUCAUUAAGCAGUAAACAUAAAGAGGCAGUUUUCAGUUUUAUAAGAAAUUUGAUUACCUAAGGCUUGCCUAGGCAUGGGAUAAUGCACAAUUGUUACCAGAACUAUUAAAACGGGGUAGGAGAUAUUUUACCUAAAGCAUGUUAUUUCGAGUUUUACAAGAUGCAAAAUUAUUACUAGUAUUACUUAAAUAGGGUAAUCAUAUGUGAGACUAUUUUAUAUCCCUUUUCAUGCAUGAGUAUUUUUACUAUGUGUGACUGAGCGAUUAUGAACGAGAUCCUAAACAUGGUAUCUAAUAUGCACAUAUAAGGUUUAGAAUGGGUUAUAUGCAGAAUUUCUAAAGCAGGAUUUCUAAAUUCAAAGCAGGUUACAACAUGAUUUCAAAAUAUGCAUAAGUAAUAGUUUAUUUUAAUGUUGUCGUUUAUCCUAAAACAUGAUUUCUAAGUGAUAAUUAUGAUGUCAAAAUGAGAUGUUGAAAAUAGUAUACAUAAAAGCUAGGAAUAUGUUAUCUAAUGCAUGAUAUGCUUUGCAUGUAUUGGUCCUAAACAUGAAUUCUAACGCACAAACAGAAAAAUAUAAACCUAAAGCAUGUUUUCUACCAUUUGAUAACAUGUAUAGCUAUCCUCCCCUUUUUUACCAGCUAGCCACAAUAUUCGUUUACAAUGAAUAUUAAAAACCAACACUGAAUGAAUUACAUUAAUAGAUAAAGAGAAAUAAGAAGUUACACUAUAGGAAGUCUGCAAGUAGGCGUAUAUUUUUAAAAACUUCAACUACUCAGAUUGUUUCACAGUAUUUCUCAAUAUCCGGGUAUAUCAAAGUUCCUUAAGGACCUCAAGGGAUCCCGAGCAAUACUCAUACCCAAAUUUCACAACCAUAUUUGAGUUAGUGCAGUGUGGAAGGGCCAGCUCUAAUGCAUCAGAGUUUAGAGGGAUCUCAUAGGGAUCCCUAAGCAGUCAUACAUUAGAGGGGAAGAACUUAGGGAUCUAAGAAUAGAGCGAGAGUGCUUGACAUAGUAUUGACAAAAAGUUAAAGUAGGAAAAUUUUUUAAAAGAGACGUGAAAAUAGUUUUGUAAACAACAAAGGAGUUUCAAUAAGACAGUUUUGAAAAAAGUAGGUCAAUUAACAAACAACAGACCAACCUAAUAACUAAAAUAGGUUCAGUAUCACACAUAGAACAAAGAACCAAGACAGGUUUAGCACCACAAGCCUUUACGUAGGGGUAAAUGGGAAUUGGGGGCAGGUAAAACAUAUAAUGGUAAACACAUAACAGGCAAAAGUCUUUGGAAUUGGUCCAGACAUGCUCAGAAACAUUGACUAGACAUAGUCAUAGAAUCAACAAUGCUUAAGGGGUUCAGUAUAGGAUCAACAUAAUUUAAAAUCAAUCCUAACACUAUACAAGUUUAGGAGUGUAGACAACUUUAUAAGGAGAUUCAUGCCAGAAACUAGAUAGAGCAAGAUCACAUAGAGCAGACUACAUGGGGCUGGGGUGAGGUAAUUUGUUAAUACUGAUCGCAAGGAAGGGGAGUACAUAACAUGCUAAUAAUGUAAACAUAUCUACUACAGUUCACUGCAAAACCAUAAUUAAAGACGAGUAGAAACAUGAUGAAUUGAAGUAAUAAAAGGACCAUAUUAUUUUUGGAACUUGAAUUGAAAUCAGAACAUACUAGUAACGAAGGUAGUAAACACAAAGUGAGGAGUAAGAGAGUAGUGUAAUCAGCAUUGGCUUGCAGUCGACUGACUUAGAACAAUAGCAAGUAAUUAGAGAAAUGAGAGCAUAAGAGAGUUUUUGUGUGAGAGAGUUUUUGAACCAAUGUGUUCAUGUCCAUGUGCUAAUGAAAGAGCAAGGUACUUAUAGUAUAAAAACAGGUAGAAAAUAAGGCAAGAAUCAUUGUUCAUCAGUAAUUACGGAACUAUGUAUUAUUAGAAUCAAAUCACUAUAAGUACUUCCUUUAAUUAAGGAAUUAAAUUUAAACAACAACAGGAAAAUACUAAAUAAGGAAGGAAAUCACAUAAGGCUGAAUAUAACAAAUAAGGAAAUAUUUUUAGCAUAGUACAAGUACACAACAUGUAAUAGAGACUAGGUUCAGCAGAUUCUAAUCAAGGAAAAUAAUUAAGAAUCCGUUGACAGCAUGCUCAACCAUAGAUUAAUGUAAGAAAAUAUCUUAAAGGUUAAAAUUAAUAGAGAACAUCAUAAGAAAUCAGUGAAAGAUCAGUCACAGAGAUUCAAAGAUUUAAAAAUAGCAAAUAGUACUGAUUUAGGAGAAAUUGACACAAAUUUAUGCGAACAAGUGGAAUAAAAACAUAAUAGGAAAGAAUUAGAAACCCUAAUAAGCCAAAUAAGGUAAAAUCAUAUAAAAUUAGGGAAUUACAUAGAGCAUAACAUGAACUAAUAGAAUAAACAUGACAUAGGAAGAAGAAGUAAAAGUCAGAGACACUGAUGAACAAAAUAGGGUAAAGCCACAGAGAAUCAUAAGGCUCAUGAGAAACAAGGACAUAUACAGAUUAAGCGAACAUAUUAUCAUAAAACAGACUUAGAAUCUAGGAUUAAAACCAAGAAACUUAGGGUUUUCAACAUAAUAACUCAGAUAAAAAGAAAAAACUCAAAUAAACAUUUAAAUAUAGUGAAAAUCAUAGAUUAAUACUAAAAUCAGAAGUAAAAGCCAUUUUGAGAAGGGGUUAAAAAACCCUAGUUUGAAGGUAAAGAGGCGUUUUAGAAAAAUAGGAAAACCUUUAAGGAAAACAACAAAAUAACUCGGAAUACCCAGAUCUAUUACAAAUCUAAGAAAUCAAGAGCUAAUAGUUAGGGUUUCAGAUAGAUAACCCAAAGAGAAAAAGAAUCCGCCUAGAAACCACAGGUUCUAGCAGAAGAUGGCAGGAUCUUACUCGGACAGGUCAAGAUUGGCCUGAGAAUGACAUAAAAAAUCAUGGGGGUGAGUUGAACCACCUCUGGUUCCUUUGAGGACCUCAAGGCAGCAGUAACCCGGGGUAGAAAGGAGCCAUGAAGGCUGGGAUGGUAGUGAGAUCACCGAAGUUACCGGAAAGUCGAUGGCCGAUUAGAGCUUUAGCUUUUAGCAGAGAGAAUCUGAGAGGUGAGGGGAGAGUGUAAC
Molecule: long non-coding RNA, 5166 nt
Filed under: Nicotiana benthamiana
Lineage: Eukaryota; Viridiplantae; Streptophyta; Magnoliopsida; Solanales; Solanaceae
Description: long non-coding RNA (NBEN_LNC022753)
Source: RNAcentral